RNAcentral lists this long non-coding RNA (1489 nucleotides) under Struthio camelus australis. Its description in RNAcentral is "lncRNA (ENSSCUG00000008993.1)". The record is from RNAcentral. Lineage: Eukaryota; Metazoa; Chordata; Aves; Struthioniformes; Struthionidae.
GAUUUAGUUCCUUUUCACGCUUCCCUUUGAUAAGCAUUCAGGUCUUUAAACCUUACAUCAAAGUUUAGUCGCCAUUUUGAAAUGCAAACACCAGAUCUGGACACAGGAUUCCAGCAAGUUGCUUUAUCAAUGCUACGUACACAAGAAGGAUCAUUUCCCUAGUUCUAUUUGUCACUCCUCUUCUUCAUACUCCUAUACCUAAGGAUCCUAUAUUCAAGGAUCACAUUAGCCAUUUUGACAACAGCGCACCAAGAAUUUAUGUUGAGACUGUUAUGUAAGACCACCCCUUCCCAAAACAGGCUUCGAUCUCACAAGUAUCAAUUGCAUUCCUCAACACUUGCAGCUGCGUUAAAACACAAUACUUUUGGACUGUAACCAUUUAGUCCAGCUAUUCCAGCAAUUCUUACCAGUAGUUUGACCACUUUGUUACAGGAUCAUAGAAUAAUUUAUGUUGGAAAGGACUUGAAGAACAUCUAGUCUGACCUCCCGCUCAAAGCAGGGCUGACUUCACAGCUAGAGCAGGUUGCCCAUGUCUUUGCCCCAUCAGGUCUGAAAAUCUCAAAGGAUGGAGAUUCUACAGCCUCUCUGGACAACCUGUCCCAAGGUUUACCCACUUUUAUUGUGAUUUAUUUUUAUAUCAUAUCUUCCUUACUAUUUCUCUGAUGCAUUAUCUAAAAACAGCUACCAAAGCCUCUAUGUCCACAUUUUAUAUCUUUGAUUAAAAUAGCAAAUAGCCAGAAUGAAUCUCCAGGCGAUCUGUUAGAAAUAGCUUUGUACACUGGCACCUGACCACUGCCUACAUUUUGAAGAUCUGCCAAUAAACCAGAUUCCAGUGCAUAUAAUAGAUACUCUGUUAAUUCAGUAUAGUUUCACCCAUUCAGUAAACAUCACGUGAUAUUAAAUUAAAAGCUUCAAUAUAGCCCAAGGAAUCAGCAAGAGGACUGAAGAUCAUAACAGUUGUUUCCAUCUAGAAAGAUCCACCUUCCAAGAAGGUCCCAGGGGAUAUGGGGAACAGAGUACUGCCUUCCUCUUUGGACUACGAUUCCACCCAGUUUAAAUGCUUCUUGGGCAAACAAAAAUGCAGGUAGCAGACCAGGCAAUGGUCUAACAGGAUCUAAUUCUUCACUCAGUCAUUUCUGUACACCGUUGUCCACCCUGGGGAAGGCAGCAGCAACUCUGUGGCGCUCUGCCGUGCUCACAAACACCCCCUUUUCCAGCGAGGCAGGAGACGACAUUCGCUGCCACUCCCUGGGGAGGCCAGGAGCACACGACCAGACGGCUGCCAGCAAGUCCCGCUGCGCUCACUGUACGAAACGCCACCUUCACCGACAGCCUCCGUCAAGCACAUCGCAACUCAUCGGCGUGCGCUGAGCGCGACGCGCCUGCGGCCACCUCUCUCUGCCAGUGUGAGGACUCAACCCCACGCGACGGAGACGCACGUCGACGCGUCUUAUCAGAGGACUUUCAUUUCCUGAGGGUGGCCCAGCUG